RNAcentral lists this ribosomal RNA (461 nucleotides) under uncultured bacterium. RNAcentral describes it as "bacterial SSU rRNA". It matches the Rfam family "Bacterial small subunit ribosomal RNA", at positions 29 to 524 of the family's 1533-position model. The record is from RNAcentral.
AACGAACGCUGGCGGCAUGCCUAACACAUGCAAGUCGAACGGGAUCCAGGCUACGGCCUGGUGAGAGUGGCGGACGGGUGAGUAACACGUGGGAACCUGCCUUUUGGUUCGGGAUAACCGCGGGAAACUGCGGCUAAUACCGGAUGCUCCCGAGAGGGGAAAGAUUUAUCGCCAGAAGAGGGGCCCGCAUCCGAUUAGGUAGUUGGUGAGGUAAUGGCUCACCAAGCCGACGAUCGGUAGCUGGUCUGAGAGGAUGAUCAGCCACACUGGGACUGAGAUACGGCCCAGACUCCUACGGGAGGCAGCAGUGGGGAAUAUUGGACAAUGGGGGGCAACCCUGAUCCAGCAAUGCCGCGUGAGUGAUGAAGGCCUUAGGGUUGUAAAGCUCUUUUGCCAGGGAAGAUGAUGACUGUACCUGGAGAAUAAGCCCCGGCUAACUUCGUGCCAGCAGCCGCGGUAAU